UGACCAUGGAGACAAGGCGAAAGGCCUGCUACAGAAGAGGAGCUCGGUCGGCGAUGGGAGCGACCAUGGCCGGACCUGGGCGAGGCCCUUGGCAGCAGAGGAAGCCAUCGCGCUGCUACAGAGGGAAUGGCGAGCUGCACACACAAAAAAGGGGGAGGCCGACCUGGGGAGGAUGGCGGCCAGGUGGGGCUGCUCGAGGAACUCCACGGCCAGGCGGGGAUGGCCGGAUUUGGAGCGAAGGAGCUCUGGGCGAGCAGGGGUUGGGCGAAUUGGAUCUGGCCUGGAGCUGGACUGCGUGGAUGAGAGCUUUCUACGCCUGCGCCUGGGGAAGGGAACGCACGUGGGGGAGCUCGCGGCUUGCGCGCCAUGGGAGAGGGAAAGGAUCCCUGCUACUGGCGAGGUGCACCAGGGAGGCGGCCUUCGGAGCUCCGGCUGGAGAUUUGGGGCACCAUGGAUGGGAGUAGAGAGGUGUGCUCGAGCUCUGCAUUUUCUGGACAGAGGGGACAUGGCUCCCAUACGCCAGCACUUGGGGAAGAUGGCUGCCGGCAAGCUUACAGACGAAAACCAGGGGGGCUCGAAAGAGAGGAAGGCAGGGAAGCCUGUUGGAGAGCCGACGCCGGAGGGAGCUGUAGAGGCGAGCGACGGCUCCCUGGAAGCUUCUGCGUGCUGGGUGGAGAGGGCGCCAGGGAGGUAGCCAUGGGAGCUCCCUUGCUCCUGCGCGAAUCAGAGAGGAGGAAAACGCCAGGAAGGAAGAACGCCGGCUGGGGAAGAAGACAGGGGGAGGAGCGGCUGCUCGGUUGAUUUAACGAGGUAUCGCUGGAAUUCCAUUGGCUGGGAUUGGGCGGCAAUUCCCACUGGCCGGCUGCAGCCAUUGGCGCAGAGAGCACAGGGCCGAGCGCUAGGACCAGGUGGUGGCGUG
RNAcentral lists this unclassified non-coding RNA (919 nucleotides) under Zea mays. Its description in RNAcentral is "misc RNA Zm00001eb254210". The record is from RNAcentral. Lineage: Eukaryota; Viridiplantae; Streptophyta; Magnoliopsida; Poales; Poaceae.